GGAGGCGAAUGGGGGCUGGUGUCCCUCCCGGUCUUCAAAACCGGUGGGCCGGGGAAACCCGGCCGGCGGGUUCGAUUCCCGUCCGCCUCCGCCA
Molecule: transfer RNA, 94 nt
Filed under: Actinomycetota bacterium
Lineage: Bacteria; Bacillati; Actinomycetota
Description: tRNA-Sec
Rfam family: Selenocysteine transfer RNA
Source: RNAcentral